AAAAAAUCUAGUCAAAUUUUCAUUGUAAAUAUGAACUCCUUUGUUAUAAGAGCGGCUAAACCUUAUUUGGCCACUACAGGAGGAACUUUUAAUGGUCAUUAUGGAGAAAUCCUUUACAAGGGAGAUAGGUUAGUUACGUUUAUAUAUGAAAAAUCGAGAUCUAGUGACAUAACACAAGGUCUUCCAAAAGUGGAACAAAUCUUUGAAGCGCGUUCAAUUGAUUCAUUAUCCCCGAAUCUCGAAAGGAGAAUUGAGGAUUUGAAUGAGCGUAUACCAAGAAUUCUUGGGGUCCCUUGGGGAUUCUUGAUUGGAGCUGAGCUAACCAUAGCCCAAAGUUGUGUCUCUUUGGUUAAUAAAAUCCAAAGGGUUUAUCGAUCCCAAGGGGUAUAG
Molecule: ribosomal RNA, 390 nt
Filed under: Triticum aestivum (bread wheat)
Lineage: Eukaryota; Viridiplantae; Streptophyta; Magnoliopsida; Poales; Poaceae
Description: partial small subunit ribosomal RNA
Source: RNAcentral